Molecule: ribosomal RNA, 120 nt
Filed under: Mobilitalea sibirica
Lineage: Bacteria; Bacillati; Bacillota; Clostridia; Lachnospirales; Lachnospiraceae
Description: Bacterial small subunit ribosomal RNA
Rfam family: Bacterial small subunit ribosomal RNA
Source: Rfam by way of RNAcentral
GAUACGUAGCCAAGUCGUGCUUAGUAAGAUGGGAGGGAGCAGCCGAAGGUGGAGCCAAUGACUGGGGUGAAGUCGUAACAAGGUAGCCGUAUCGGAAGGUGCGGCUGGAUCACCUCCUUU